UGGGGAAUAUUGCACAAUGGGCGCAAGCCUGAUGCAGCCAUGCCGCGUGUGUGAAGAAGGCCUUCGGGUUGUAAGCACUUUCAGCGAGGAGGAAGGUGGUGAGCUUAAUACGCUCAUCAAUUGACGUUACUCGCAGAAGAAGCACCGGCUAACUCCGUGCCAGCAGCCGCGGUAAUACGGAGGGUGCAAGCGUUAAUCGGAAUUACUGGGCGUAAAGCGCACGCAGGCGGUUUGUUAAGUCAGNUGUGAAAUCCCCGGGCUCAACCUGGGAACUGCAUUUGAAACUGGCAAGCUAGAGUCUCGUAGAAGGGGGUAGAAUUCCAGGUGUAGCGGUGAAAUGCGUAGAGAUCUGGAGGAAUACCGGUGGCGAAGGCGGCCCCCUGGACGAAGACUGACGCUCAGGUGCGAAAGCGUGGGGCAGCAAACAGGAUUANAUACCCUGGUAGUCCAGCGCUGUAAACGAUGUCGAUUUGG
Molecule: ribosomal RNA, 474 nt
Filed under: uncultured bacterium
Lineage: Bacteria
Description: partial 16S ribosomal RNA
Rfam family: Bacterial small subunit ribosomal RNA
Source: RNAcentral